Molecule: ribosomal RNA, 502 nt
Filed under: uncultured bacterium
Lineage: Bacteria
Description: partial 16S ribosomal RNA
Rfam family: Bacterial small subunit ribosomal RNA
Source: RNAcentral
GAUGAACGCUAGCGGCAGGCCUAACACAUGCAAGUCGAGGGGCAGCACAGAAACAGCAAUGUUUUGGUGGCGACCGGCGGACGGGUGCGUAACGCGUAUGCAACCUACCUUUAACAGGGGGAUAACGGAGAGAAAUUUCCACUAAUACCCCAUAACAUCGAUCAAGGCAUCUUGAUUGGUUGAAAACUCCGGUGGUUAAAGAUGGGCAUGCGUUGUAUUAGGUAGUUGGUGAGGUAAUGGCUCACCAAGCCUACGAUACAUAGGGGGACUGAGAGGUUAGCCCCCCACACUGGUACUGAGACACGGACCAGGCUCCUACGGGAGGCAGCAGGGAGGAAUAUUGGUCAAUGGGGGCAACCCUGAACCAGCCAUGCCGCGUGCAGGAAGACGGCUCUAUGAGUUGUAAACUGCUUUUAAACAGGGAUAAAGCACAGUAUGUAUACUGUGUUGAAGGUACUGUAAGAAUAAGGAUCGGCUAACUCCGUGCCAGCAGCCGCCGUAA